GACGAACGCUGGCGGCGUGCUUAACACAUGCGAGUCGAACGGAAAGGCCCUGCUUUUGUGGGGUGCUCGAGUGGCGAACGGGUGAGUAACACGUGAGUAACCUGCCCUUGACUUUGGGAUAACUUCAGGAAACUGGGGCUAAUACCGGAUAGGAGCUCCUGCUGCAUGGUGGGGGUUGGAAAGUUUGGGCGGUUGGGGAUGGACUCGCGGCUUAUCAGCUUGUUGGUGGGGUAGUGGCUUACCAAGGCUUUGACGGGUAGCCGGCCUGAGAGGGUGACCGGCCACAUUGGGACUGAGAUACGGCCCAGACUCCUACGGGAGGCAGCAGUGGGGAAUAUUGCACAAUGGGCGGAAGCCUGAUGCAGCAACGCCGCGUGCGGGAUGACGGCCUUCGGGUUGUAAACCGCUUUCGCCUGUGACGAAGCGUGAGUGACGGUAAUGGGUAAAGAAGCACCGGCUAACUACGUG
RNAcentral lists this ribosomal RNA (468 nucleotides) under uncultured bacterium. RNAcentral's name for it is "partial 16S ribosomal RNA". It matches the Rfam family "Bacterial small subunit ribosomal RNA", at positions 28 to 507 of the family's 1533-position model. The record is from RNAcentral.